AGAGACAGCAGCCGCCGCGGGAAUACCGAGGGUGCGAGCGUUAAUCGGAUUUACUGGGCGUAAAGCGUGCGUAGGCGGCUUUUUAAGUCGGAUGUGAAAUCCCUGAGCUUAACUUAGGAAUUGCAUUCGAUACUGGGAAGCUAGAGUAUGGGAGAGGAUGGUAGAAUUCCAGGUGUAGCGGUGAAAUGCGUAGAGAUCUGGAGGAAUACCGAUGGCGAAGGCAGCCAUCUGGCCUAAUACUGACGCUGAGGUACGAAAGCAUGGGGAGCAAACAGGAUUAGAUACCCCGGUAGUCCCUGUCUCUUAUAC
RNAcentral lists this ribosomal RNA (309 nucleotides) under uncultured bacterium. RNAcentral's name for it is "partial 16S ribosomal RNA". It matches the Rfam family "Bacterial small subunit ribosomal RNA", at positions 504 to 807 of the family's 1533-position model. The record is from RNAcentral.